Long non-coding RNA from Halichondria panicea, 3612 nucleotides. RefSeq lists it as uncharacterized. The record is from RefSeq and is a predicted model, not a curated record. The transcript is spliced from 3 exons. Lineage: Eukaryota; Metazoa; Porifera; Demospongiae; Suberitida; Halichondriidae.
GGUACUUCGGUGAUAGAUUUGCUGAAUCAGCGGGCACUCGACUGAGACAACGUGAAGUGUUGCAUAUCUUCUCUGACGUUGCUAAGGCCGUUGCUAGGCUACACCAUCGGAUAAAACCCAUCAUACAUCGCGACCUCAAGGCUGCCUGUUGACCUCUGACCCUGAGCUUCGUCCUAGUAUCUGGCAAGUGUGUGAGGUGGUGUCCAGGAUCACAGGAACCACCAACCAUGUCACUAAUGUCUUUGUGAGUACCUUACUAUUAGUAUACCCUGUAUAUGUAUAGUGGUGGGUAGACCAACAGUGGCUGUAUUAUAGAGGGUGGUCUGCUAACACAGGUCCAAACACAUGCUAUGGAGACUUUGGGGCCUGGUUGUUUUAUAGAGGGUGGCCUGCUAACACAGGUCCAAACACAUGCUAUGGAGACUUUGGGGCCCAUUAACCUGGCUGUAUUAUAGAGGGUGGUCUGCUAACACAGGUCCAAACACAUGCUACGGAGACUUUGAGGCCCAUUAACCUGGCUGUAUUAUAGAGGGUGGUCUGCUAACACAGGUCCAAACACAUGCUAUGGAGACUUUGGGGACCAUUAACCUGGCUGUAUUAUAGAGGGUGGCCUGCUAAUACAUGUCCAAACACAUGCUAUGGAGACUUUGGGGCCCAUUAACCUGGCUGUAUUAUAGAGGGUGGCCUGCUAACAUAGGUCCAAACACAUGCUAUGGAGACUUUGGGGCCCAUUAACCUGGCUGUAUUAUAGAGGGUGGCCUGCUAAUACAUGUCCAAACACAUGCUAUGGAGACUUUGGGGCCCAUUAACCUGGCUGUAUUAUAGAGGGUGGCCUGCUAACACAGGUCCAAACACAUGCUAUGGAGACUUUGAGGCCCAUUAACCUGGCUGUAUUAUAGAGGGUGGUCUGCUAACACAGGUCCAAACACAUGCUAUGGAGACUUUGGGGCCCAUUAACCUGGCUGUAUUAUAGAGGGUGGCCUGCUAACACAGGUCCAAACACAUGCUAUGGAGACUUUGAGGCCCAUUAACCUGGCUGUAUUAUAGAGGGUGGUCUGCUAACACAGGUCCAAACACAUGCUAUGGAGACUUUGAGGCCCAUUAACCUGGCUGUAUUAUAGAGGGUGGCCUGCUAAUACAUGUCCAAACACAUGCUAUGGAGACUUUGGGGCCCAUUAACCUGGCUGUAUUAUAGAGGGUGGCCUGCUAACAUAGGUCCAAACACAUGCUAUGGAGACUUUGGGGCCCAUUAACCUGGCUGUAUUAUAGAGGGUGGCCUGCUAAUACAUGUCCAAACACAUGCUAUGGAGACUUUGGGGCCCAUUAACCUGGCUGUAUUAUAGAGGGUGGCCUGCUAACACAGGUCCAAACACAUGCUAUGGAGACUUUGAGGCCCAUUAACCUGGCUGUAUUAUAGAGGGUGGUCUGCUAACACAGGUCCAAACACAUGCUAUGGAGACUUUGAGGCCCAUUAACCUGGCUGUAUUAUAGAGGGUGGCCUGCUAACACAGGUCCAAGCACAUGCUAUGGAGACUUUGGGACCCAUUAACCUGGCUGUAUUAUAGAGGGUGGCCUGCUAACACAGGUCCAAACACAUGCUAUGGAGACUUUGGGACCCAUUAACCUGGCUGUAUUAUAGAGGGUGGCCUGCUAACACAGGUCCAAACACAUGCUAUGGAGACUUUGGGCCCAUUAACCUGGCUGUAUUAUAGAGGGUGGUCUGCUAACACAGGUCCAAACACAUGCUAUGGAGACUUUGGGGCCCAUUAACCUGGCUGUAUUAUAGAGGGUGGCCUGCUAAUACAUGUCCAAACACAUGCUAUGGAGACUUUGGGGCCCAUUAACCUGGCUGUAUUAUAGAGGGUGGCCUGCUAACACAGGUCCAAACACAUGCUAUGGAGACUUUGAGGCCCAUUAACCUGGCUGUAUUAUAGAGGGUGGUCUGCUAACACAGGUCCAAACACAUGCUAUGGAGACUUUGGGGCCCAUUAACCUGGCUGUAUUAUAGAGGGUGGCCUGCUAACACAGGUCCAAACACAUGCUAUGGAGACUUUGAGGCCCAUUAACCUGGCUGUAUUAUAGAGGGUGGUCUGCUAACACAGGUCCAAACACAUGCUAUGGAGACUUUGAGGCCCAUUAACCUGGCUGUAUUAUAGAGGGUGGCCUGCUAAUACAUGUCCAAACACAUGCUAUGGAGACUUUGGGGCCCAUUAACCUGGCUGUAUUAUAGAGGGUGGCCUGCUAACAUAGGUCCAAACACAUGCUAUGGAGACUUUGGGGCCCAUUAACCUGGCUGUAUUAUAGAGGGUGGCCUGCUAAUACAUGUCCAAACACAUGCUAUGGAGACUUUGGGGCCCAUUAACCUGGCUGUAUUAUAGAGGGUGGCCUGCUAACACAGGUCCAAACACAUGCUAUGGAGACUUUGAGGCCCAUUAACCUGGCUGUAUUAUAGAGGGUGGUCUGCUAACACAGGUCCAAACACAUGCUAUGGAGACUUUGAGGCCCAUUAACCUGGCUGUAUUAUAGAGGGUGGCCUGCUAACACAGGUCCAAGCACAUGCUAUGGAGACUUUGGGACCCAUUAACCUGGCUGUAUUAUAGAGGGUGGCCUGCUAACACAGGUCCAAACACAUGCUAUGGAGACUUUGGGACCCAUUAACCUGGCUGUAUUAUAGAGGGUGGCCUGCUAACACAGGUCCAAACACAUGCUAUGGAGACUUUGGGACCCAUUAACCUGGCUGUAUUAUAGAGGGUGGCCUGCUAACACAGGUCCAAACACAUGCUAUGGAGACUUUGGGACCCAUUAACCUGGCUGUAUUAUAGAGGGUGGCCUGCUAAUAAUUAUAGUGACAUUCAGUGUAAAAAUUGUGUAAGUAUUAGUUAUUAUUCACCAUAAUUUAUAAUUAUCUCCACACAGCGUUCCCCUUGUCCGCCAAAUCCCGUCCCUUCUCCAAAAAUGCUCGUCCUGUUGCUAAGAAACCAACCAACCAAUCGAAACCCUCUGUGACUGUCAACCCCAUCACCGCAACGAAGGCUAUUGCUACAGCAGUUACCACGACAACCAUUUCAUCUCAAAAUCGACCUCGUAAUAGGUCGCGGGUCAAAUCGCUAUGGCAACAACGAGUAUCGAACCUGAAGCCGUCCAAUCAGAAUGCAGGAUUCCAUUAGAGCGUAGACAGUGGACUGGAUGCUUUUGGUUAUGUCCCGUUCACUCCACAAAGAAUAGGAUCAGAGACCAACCUGACCACAGUGACUGGCAGUCCAUUUCCUACGGAUGACUUUGGUAGCACUUCAUUUGACGGACAUUCCUCUACCCCGCCCACUCAUAAUACUGCUGACAAUGCAAGACGAGAUUUGUUUGGAGCACCCCCCUUUGAAUAGGGUUCAAAGGUUACGACAACAAUGACAUCUGUAGAUCAAUUUGGAGCAGUUCCUUUUAGCUGAAUUAAUUGUAAUAUUUAUUUUUCCGUGUGUUUAGUAUUAUAAGUGUUGUUUUGUGUGUAGUAGGAUCAUAAUUAUGACUCGACUAUUGACUGUGUGCAUAUAAUUAGGAUUUUUAUGUUCAGUGAAAAAUUUAAUUAGGUAAACAGUUUUAAUUUUGUGGCAGCAUAGA